RNAcentral lists this long non-coding RNA (418 nucleotides) under Rattus norvegicus (Norway rat). RNAcentral's name for it is "long non-coding RNA NONRATT021445". The record is from RNAcentral. Lineage: Eukaryota; Metazoa; Chordata; Mammalia; Rodentia; Muridae.
AUGGCGGCUAACGCGACCACGAACCCGUCUCAACUCCUGCCACUAGAGCUUGUGGACAAGUGUAUAGGAUCAAGAAUUCACAUUGUGAUGAAGAGUGAUAAAGAAAUCGUGGGUACACUUCUAGGAUUUGAUGACUUUGUCAGUAUCCUUUUUAUAAGUGGUAAUGAUGUAGUGUUUUAAAGAUGUAUUAAGUCUUUGUGGUUAUUACAUUAAUAAUUUUGUUUUCCAGGAACUUGGUAGCAUUUUAAGAGGCGUGUUUGAUGAUAGGGUUUUUGCCAACAACAAACCUUUGAAUUUGCACUACCAUAAUGUUGAACAUAUUUGAAACCAAACAAAAACAUACACCAGAAUAAAGUCAACCUUGUUUAUUUUCUUAACGUCGAAUUUCAGAUAUGGUGUUGGAAGAUGUCACAGAGUU